Molecule: non-coding RNA, 27 nt
Filed under: Homo sapiens (human)
Lineage: Eukaryota; Metazoa; Chordata; Mammalia; Primates; Hominidae
Source: RNAcentral
AUCCAUCAGGGAAGCACGCGCCUGUGC